Salmo salar (Atlantic salmon) is the source of this 2988-nucleotide non-coding RNA. NCBI's taxonomy places the organism in Eukaryota, Metazoa, Chordata, Actinopteri, Salmoniformes, Salmonidae. The record is from the annotation of a RefSeq genome assembly.
AUGGUUAAAAAAGCUAUGAGACAGUCAUUCUUCUGAUGUGUCAAGAUGCGUGCCUGCCUUUUUCUGUUGUGGAGUACUCUCUCAGCUACUUGGACAAACCAAAUAAUUGUGACCCAGACACCUGGUAUGGUGAAGAUGAUAGCCGGUGGCACGGUGACUUUGAAGUGCCAUGUUGAUCAGAUUCUCGCCUUUUGCCACUCAGUGACUUGGAUGAAAGUAGACGCCAGGACUGGAACAAUGAGCACAAGAACUAACGUAAAGAUGAAUACGACCUCUGAGGCAGGGAAACGGGACAGAGUAUGUUCAGCAACCAUCACCAACGCAUUACUGAGCGACUCUGGCAUGUACUACUGUUUGGCUGUUCACUCCAAGGCGGUCCACAACGGCAACGGAUCCAAUCUAAUCGUCACAGAGAGCAGCACUGAAUCCCCAAACAUCAAAAUUGUCUCAUCAGACAGUGACGGCUCUUCCGCCGCUCUGCUGUGUUUGGUGUCAGGAGUGGUCCCGUCUCAAGUCCAUGUGUUCUGGCUCAUAGACGGGAGAGAGGACAGUGGACUUACUGAGUCCACCUGGACAGACAACAGUGAUUCAGCCACAGAGUUCACUAGGAACCAGAUUCUAGUCCAGGCAGAGGAGUGGGACAGAGGGGUGCAGUGUACGUGUGUGGUGGAGUUUGAGGGAAAUUCUAUCAACAAAACUGUGCAAAGAAUAGAUCUUGGCGUGCUAUGUUACGUCACAGUGUGGAUAUACAGACUCCUGGGAAUAACUGCCUGGCUUCUGCUGUUGAUCAUGGCUACCACUGUGGCAGCAUGCAGGGGCAAAAAUAGAGGUGUUCAGAGGAAUGAUACCUCAAAGAACAUGGGACGAAGGCAUAAUUCAUCAUAAAAAGGUUUUAUAGUUUGUCAUUUGUACAAAGUCAUUUUGGUAGCAUUGACAUGUGUUAAGACCAUUGGGAAAAGUUGUUUCUUUUUGUUGUUGUUGUUGCUUGCUUAACUGUUGCUAACUAUUCAAAAAUGGAAGUGUACAUUGGAAAAAAGCUCAUUAGAAUUUCAAAUUGCAGUUAUGUUUUUCUCAUAGAACAUAUUCACAUUGAAUAAUUAUCCACUGUAAAUGCUCUCUCAUUACAAGUCCUGGGUCAGAUAUCCACUUUUUUUCUUAUUCGAAACAUUUGAGCGAGUGAUUGAAAUGUUGUUGAAUUCCUCUCUGUGAACCACACUUUGCUAGGCUUCAUGCAGGCAACUGUGUAGUUACAGACUUCGAAUGAAUCCAUUUCAAGAAAAAAUGUCCAUGUUUAAAAGAUGCAAUGCAAUAGUAUUGCUUCAUUCCUUAUUCACAUGCUAUGUUGUUACUGGCUUAUUUGCUAAAGUAAGAAACUUUCCCAGAAAUCCUCACCAUCUGUUUUGACUACUAACUUGUAAAGGAGAGACAUGAUACCCAACUCUUUCUCUUAACAAGUGCAUAUCAGAUAAUCAAAUCAAAUCAAAUUUUAUUUGUCACAUGCGCCGAAUACAACAGGUGUGGACUUUACCAUGAAAUGCUUCCUUACGAGCCCUUUCCCACCAAUGCAGAGUUAAAACGUUUAAAAAAAUGUGCUAAAUAAAAAAAGGAAAUAAUAACAAAGAUUCGUGCAUAUUUUUUGCUAAAAUAAUUGCAAUUGCUGUGUAAUAACUGUCCUUCAAAUGAAAAGGUGAAACUUUGGAAGUAAGCAGUGUGCAGCAGCGUCGCUUAUCCAAAUCAUCUUAUUUAGUCCAACAGACUAAAUGUGUAAACGUGUCCUAUGUGAGAUAGGGCGAGAUUAUUGCUGGUCUCUGUCGUUUUGCUUUCAUCAUUGAAAGCAAGCCAAAGUAACUUUAAACCAAGUCAUUAAGCUUCACAAACCCUUUCAGAGACCUCCUGUACCCCCUGUUCACCCACGACUGUGUGGCCAAGCACGACUCCAACACCAUCGUUACGUUUGUAUUGGGCUAUUGUGUGUAUAUUGAUGAGGGGGGAAAAAAUGAUUUAAUCAAUUUUAGAUUAAGGCUGUAACGUAACAAAAUCUGUAAAAAGUCAAGGGGUCUGAGUACUUUCCGAAUUGCUGAAAAGAAUGUGAGAUCUGUAGCUGAGUAUGAGACUUAGUGGCAGAGUAGACAUAAAUUUGUCUUGCGUUCUGUUCAUAAUUGUGCCAGAGCAGUGGACAGAAAGAAACACACAUCAAGUCAGGAGGUACAGCAGCGGCUUGUGGUUUGAAGAGGCGACACUGACUGAGGUGGGCUUUCAAGGUAAAUCUCAUUGGUUGACUUCUGAAGAAAUCAUGCACUCAUGAAGAAAAAAAAAUCCCCUUUUGCAAUUGUUGUGACAUUUUGUGCUUUUGCAAAUUAUUUGGAAUUAUUUGUCACUAGGGGGUGUUUUAGAAACCUUUUUUUAUCAACCCCAACUAAAUCAUUUUGAAAAAAAUACAGCGGUAUUGAUCAUCAUCAUCAUUUGUGUCAAUUCCAUUUCAAUUAAAUAUAUAUUUUUUAGUUAUGCGACUAGCGUUGAAACAAUGAAGACCACUAUUUUAAAGAGUAAGUUUGUCUGAGGUUGCUAACCAGAAUGGUAGCAUCAGUUGUCUGCAGUCCAUUUUUACUCAGUGGCAUUGCCUCACAACCUUAAUCAGGUCAAAGAAAAGACCACCAUAUAGCACAUUUAGGUUGGAGAGCAUUUCAGUCUGUGUCAGUCAGUCUUUUGAUUCAGUUGUUGUUGACAUGCCAAAUGAAUAAAGCCACUUUGAGUUAGCUAAAGAAGAGUGUAUAAACUGUAAAGAUGUACCGUGUAAAGAUAUACUGAUGUAAACAAACCAUUUCUGCUUAUAAUUACUUGGACUGAAAAAUGUACUGAUAUGCCUUAGAAUAUAACAUCCUCCUGAAUCUGUCACGGACUGCAUCGAGAGACAGCCUUCUACAAAACUACAUGAAUGUCUCUGUAACAUCUUUCAGAAAUUGUUUGGAAAUUAAAAGCACACCUUCA